GGACUGAGGCGGAUCCAGAGGGCACAUCACAGCUGGACGCUCAGAACAGAGGUCCCGGGGCCAGCCAGGGUCCUUGGCCUGAGUCAUGGCAACAGAAGCCAAUCGAGCAGCCACAGUUACCCCCAGGUCUGGAGCUGAAGGGCUCCCUCCGUGGCAGGGCCUCAGCCACCCCCAGCCUGGCCAGACAGAUCAACCCCAGAAAGUCCCGCCCCAGGAGAAGCCCAGGAGGAGGAGCCGCCGUCUCAAGGAGCUGGGGGGCCAGUCACCUGCCCCUCUCCUGCCCAGGCCUGCCAUGUUGUCGUCGCUCUGCUGUACGUGUUCCUUGGGGGUUACCUGGCCGCCAUCGUCCAGAGCCUUCACCUGGUGGUGCUGAAGUCUUGGUAUCCGUUCUGGGGGGCUGCUUCUGUGAGUAGAGGCCAAAACAUUGGCCCAAUGGGGGUAGGGAGAGCUGGCGACCCUGGGAACCGGAUGCAGGGUGGGGCAGAGGGAGCCGGUAGGAGGACAGCAGCCUCAGUGCCUUUCUCAGUCCUCCCAGCUCUGCCUCUGCUCUCUUGGUCACACUGGAAGUAGCGCCGUCUCCUAAUUCACACGGGGGCCCAGCAGAGAGGAGGGUGAACAUGAGCUGGGGAGCUACCUGCAGCUUCUUCAGGCUUCUGGGCAGCCAGGCACCUCCGGAUCCAGCCACCCAUCCCUGGUGCCCAAAGUCUCUGUCAGGGUCCAGCUGCAGGGCACAAGGAUGUAAGACCCAGCUCCGGUCCUCCCAAGGCCAUCAGCCAGGGCGGGCGAUGAGAGAAGGGCAGGGAGCACCUUCCUGGAGGCCCUCCAGGGUAUCCUCCCCACCCCCCACCCCCCCAUCCUGGCGGGGUCCCACUCACACACCAAGUCCCAGCUCCUCAGCACCCCUCGGGCAGGUGUCCCAACUCUUCCUGCUGUCACUUCAGUCCUCUUUCCCCUCUGCACCCCACCCCCAGAGCUUUCAGUGCAUAGGGAAGGGAACCAUCUCUGCAUCACCUCGACUGGUGCAUAGCAGGCGCUCAGUGCACAUGUGAUAGAAUAAUUGCAGAAAAACACCAGAGACCCCAGAACCAAGAGCGAAUAUCCUCCAAACGACAGGACCCAGGAAAGGAGCAAGGGUCGGCGCAAAGGGGGCAGUGCAGCUGAUCCCCACGGGAGGGUCUGGGCUGGUGAAAGGGGGAAGCGAGGGGACCAGGAGGGCAUUCUUGAGCCCAGGAGGGAAGGUCCGUGCACACAGGGAAGACCAGCCUGGCUGGAGCGUGAUCUGUGGGCAGGGUGAGCCCCCUUUGUUGGAGGAAUGGUGUUCUCUGCCCCACCAGCCACCAGAGAUUGAUUUUCUAAGAGCAUAGCAGGAAGGGAAUGUGUGAGUUUCAAGGAACCCCAGCUUCUCUCUUAUGACUGUUUCAAAUCUGGUCCGCAGUUCCUCAUUUCAGGGAUCUUGGCAAUAACAAUGGAGACAUUUCAGAAAAAUUACCUGGUAAGUCACAGCGUUGAGAGUGUUCCCUUCCAUCCCAAGCCUGGGGUAACUUUUCAACGGGCAUCGUUUGGAGUGCGGACUCAAGAGGCAUCUCUCCAGGAUUUGCUAGACGUGGGCACCAGCCUCUGGGACAGCAGAGGGCGUCCGGGCUGAAUGGUCCCCCUUCCUGGAGGUCUGACCUCACACCCUGACUCCCGCCUUUCUCUCCACCUGCUGCCCUCUCCCCACCCCGGUUCUGGCCUAGAGACAGGCAUCAUCCAGCCUAUUGAUGGUAGCCUUGGAGAUUGUUCUGCCAGCCCUACCUUGGCCCCCUGGGCCCCGCCAUCAUACUCCCUACCCCACCCCACCCAAGGCUUGCCUCCAACAUCAGCAAGUCUACCUGCCUGCAGGCUGGACCGCAGCUGGGUUUCCAUAUACGUCUCACCUCUAAGCGCCAGCUGGACACAAGUGGUCCCCCCUGUGCUCUGUGCUGUCUUGUGCCCAGGCACCUUGCCUCUCCCCACUGUGCAUGUUCUCCUGGCUUUGACUUCCUCCUGAUCAUUCUUCAAGGUGCACUUUACAUGCCUCCUCCUCCAGGCAGUCUUCCCUGACCUGCCCUGGCUGGCUCCUGUGUCCCCACAGCUCCUUGGACUUCUCUGUCUCCUUUCUCUCUCAGGCACUAAGCUUGGGCAGCAACUGCCUGAGCAUCUUUCUAGCCCGAGGCAGCCCAGGGAGGCACAGAGUGGACACCCACAUGAGCCCAAGUGGAUGGAGGUGGAUGGGGGCGGGAAGGACCAUCCCAUCCACCCUGUGUCAUGGCCUCAGCACCCCCUCCACCCCCAAGCCCUGGCUGGGUCCACAUUCAUGCCUCCCAUUGCUGAUGAACGGGGAUGGCCUGUCUCUUCUGUGAAUUCACAGGAUCUGAUGGAAAAAAGGGAAGACUCGCCAUCCAGCUUCUCCACUUCCCACCACCUCCCUCUCCCCAAGGGGCAGGGCAGCCCAGGCAUGGUCCCUUGCUCCUCCCUGGCUUGUGCUCUGGCUGUCCCCACCGCCCUCUGUCCGCAGGAGCAGUCUUUGCUGGGGCUGGGGACGUGGAGUAUGGGGCAGGGUGUGGUGCAUCCGAGCUCAUUCAGCCAGGACGUGCGCAAAACUCAUCUCGGUCAAGCGCCAAGGCCGGCUCACAUUCGUGCCUCCCAGACCGGGCUGGACUGGCUGCCCCCUGCCCUCUUGGGGUGUAGCAGACAAAAGCAUGUUGUGCCACUUACCCAGCAGAGGCAGGGAUGCUUGGCAGAAACCUGGCCAUUCCUCCUGGGCUGGGCCCCUUCCAGACCCAUAAGCCUACCCCUUCCUACACCUGAACGCGGGGAGCCUCUCAUUGCAGAGAAAUCCAUUCUAGCAUAAGAGGUUGGGGUGCCUUAUGUUUAUACCCUUUCCCCAUUAUAGGGGUUUGUACUUGGCAAGAAUCCUGUGGAAUAAGGUGAGACCCAAGACGAUGAGGAAUGAGGCAUUUCCGGGGCUAUGGUGGGCAGGGAAGGGGGUGACCUGAGUGAGUGAAGAUAGGGCACCUUCGGGGCUCAUCCCACCUGGGUCGGGGGGCCAUUUGGGUGUCGAGACUCUGAUCAGUUAGCAUAUCUGCUGCCAGGAUGACUGGGAACAGCUUGGAGAGAAAGACGGCAGAGCAGGGGGUGGGGGCUUCCUUCCUUAUUGCAAAGCCUGUGGAUCCAGAGGUGGUCCUUGCAUUCUCUGGGUCCCAUCCCAUAGAAGGCGAGGGCCAGUUGGGGCUCCUCGUGGUCAGCCAGCUCAGAAAGCUGUGUGUGGGUGAACUUCUGGCCCAGAGACAGGCAGCAUUUUCCUGAGGUCACAAAGUGAGCUACUGGCUGGCCUGCGUGGAGGACCGAGGACUCAUCUCUGACCUUUGGACUACAGCUGUCACUCUUUUUUUGCUUGUAGGCGGCGUGCCUGACAGCAAAUGCCAUCAGCUUCUUCUGUGUGCUCUGUGGCCUCUUUGUCAUCGCCAAGGAUCUCUUUCUGGAGAGCCCAUUUGACUUCCCUGUCUGGAAACCAUACCCCAACGACACAGUCCACAUCCAGAGGCUGGUGCUGGCCCUGCUCUGCGUCACCUGCCUGGAGGUCUUCCUGCCGGGGCUCAUGGCCAUCCUGGCUUAUAGGGAUACCCGCCUGGCUGCAGAGAAGGAUGACCUGUCCCUUGGCCCUGACAUGCUGUUGGAGCUCAGGGGGUCUCCGAUGACACCUCCACCAUCCUAUGACGAUGUGACUAAAGGCAACGGGUGGCAGGAGCAGAAGCAGAUGUGAAGAGGCACUGGCUCCACGCACCAUCAGAAUUCACCCACUGGUCCCUUGUCCUGGACAGAUUAAGGACCAAUUCCAAGGGGCGGUUACCAGAAGGGGGCAAACGGUACCAUGGCUAAAAACGUCUGCCCCAUGCUGGUGGCCAGGGAGGGGAAGUCCCCAUUCUGUCUGGCAUGGGAGGGACCUCCAGGUCCCCACGCCCCGUAACAUCCCAGCUGGACCAGAACACAACUGGGUCCUGCCCACCCACCCAGGCAGACACGGGAACAGACCCCUGGGUCCGCAGCCCCCUCCCCCACCCUCCUUGUCUGCUUCCCCCAGUCCCUGGUGGGCACAUAGACAUCCUGUCCACGUGGGGCUGUGCCUGAAGAGGAGAAGGGUCCUCAGAGCCCAGAUGGGCACCGUUUUCCCUGGACUCGACCUACCAAGGGGUCUCUACAAACACUUGUGUUUGAAUCCCUGGAUUCGGGGUGGAAACAGCAGGGGCAAUCAGACAGAAACUAUGACCAGUUCUUCCUCCCAAACCAUCAGCAUGUCUCCCCGCCCCCACCCCGGGGCCUCAGUGUCUCCAUCUGUACAGGGAAGGGGCGGGUGGAAGAUGUGACCAGGACCUACCUGCUGGGAAGUUCUGAGAUCAGAGUCAAGUUCACUCAAGGUUAUCAAGGAAGCAUCAGCAUCAGAAUUCCACACCUCCUUGUGCUGAGCGAAUAGUGGGGAGAGAGACCUACCUUCCUCAUUUCCCAAAUUUUCAGUCAUCCAAGGGCCGACCUUACAAAUUUGGUCUAUUUGUGGACUGUGCUGUAUUCCCUUUAUGUUCCCUUAAAUUGCCUUUUUUUCUCAUGCACUAUUAUGUGAGGGGUAAUUUGCAUCAGCAACAAACAGGAAGUCUGUACCUAUCCAUACAAAGAAGCCAACCACAAAAAUCACGUAAACACGGUAAAAAUAAAACAAAAGCAACUUGUCGC
RNAcentral lists this long non-coding RNA (4746 nucleotides) under Sus scrofa (pig). RNAcentral's name for it is "lncRNA (ENSSSCG00065018986.1)". Lineage: Eukaryota; Metazoa; Chordata; Mammalia; Artiodactyla; Suidae. The record is from RNAcentral.